This is a long non-coding RNA of Tripterygium wilfordii, 889 nucleotides long. RefSeq lists it as uncharacterized. The transcript is spliced from 6 exons. Lineage: Eukaryota; Viridiplantae; Streptophyta; Magnoliopsida; Celastrales; Celastraceae. The record is from RefSeq and is a predicted model, not a curated record.
UUCUAAGUCUCCUCCUCCCUCGCGAAUAUCUCUCUGCUGAUUCCUUAUUUUUUCCUCCAAUCUGUUUCACUCAGGUUUCAAAAUUUUCAGGGUUUUUCUUAAAAGUGCUAUCGUUAUUACUUCUUCGGGCUGGGUGAUUGGCGAGGUUCAUAUCUUCUCUCCCAUUAGUGUUUGGCGUGAAGGGUUGUGGGUUCUGGUAAGGAACCUAAGGAAUUUUAAAUCCGGAUAUUGCAAAUGCAAAGUGGCUCUAACUCACUAUCUGUUUGGGACCGACUCUGAACUUCUCUGUCUUCUGCUAUGUGACUCUGAAUUCUCCUGACCGUGCCUGCAAUCUGGCCAAGCAGCAGGGAGUAAUGUAUGGCACUCUGUUCUGCUGCUACAAGGGCUACCUGUGGUGGUGUUAGAGCCAAUACCAGAAAAUUGUGUGUCAAGAGUGGAGGAGGACAAUAGAAGAGAGAGAGAUGAUGGGAGAUGGGGUUGAAGGCUAUAUCUGAAGGGAAAUUGGGCAUAUUACUUCUGUAUGGUGGGCAGGAUUGAAACUAAAAAUGCAGGGAACUCGACUUGGAAGUGUUGAUCCAAAGGGAUGUUUCAGUUUGGAGCUUAGAUACAUUUGUUUCCACUUUGUUUAUCCAAUAUAUUUCAUUUACUCUGUAUUUUACUUUGUAGGUCGUAUGAAUUUUUUUCCCAGCUGUAAUUGUGACUAAGGCGUAGAACCACAGCUCAAUUAAUAUUCGAGUUGGGUCAGAGGGCUUAUGAAAACUUGGUGUACCAGGUUUGUAGAAUAUGCUUGUGCUGUGUUUGAGUACACUUCAUUGUCUAUAUAGCUUAGACAGUGCAGACAGAUGUUAUGAACCUUAUUGUUGAAAUAAUAUAUGAGGAAAAAUCUUCA